UUAACGCUAGCGGCAGGCAUAAUACAUGCAAGUUGAACGGCAGCACAGGUAGCAAUACUGGGUGGCGAGUGGCGCACGGGUGCGUAACACGUAUGCAACCUACCCUAUACAGGCGAAUAACCUUUAGAAAUGAGGGCUAAUACGCCGUAGUAUUACAGAUGGGCAUCUAUUUGUAAUUAAAGAUUUAUCGGUAUAGGAUGGGCAUGCGUCCCAUUAGUUAGUUGGUAAGGUAACGGCUUACCAAGACGAUGAUGGGUAGGGGAUCUGAGAGGACUUACCCCCACACUGGUACUGAGACACGGACCAGACUCCUACGGGAGGCAGCAGUAAGGAAUAUUGGGCAAUGGCCGCGAGGCUGACCCAGCCAUGCCGCGUGCAGGAAGACGGCCUUAUGGGUUGUAAACUGCUUUUAUACGGGAAUAAUAGAGUGUACGCGUACAUUUAUGCAAGUAUCGUAUGAAUAAGCAUCGGCUAACUCCGUG
RNAcentral lists this ribosomal RNA (482 nucleotides) under uncultured bacterium. Its description in RNAcentral is "partial 16S ribosomal RNA". It matches the Rfam family "Bacterial small subunit ribosomal RNA", at positions 32 to 507 of the family's 1533-position model. The record is from RNAcentral.